This 228-nucleotide ribosomal RNA is filed under the name uncultured Planctomycetota bacterium. RNAcentral's name for it is "uncultured planctomycete partial 16S ribosomal RNA". It matches the Rfam family "Bacterial small subunit ribosomal RNA", at positions 567 to 792 of the family's 1533-position model. The record is from RNAcentral. Lineage: Bacteria; Pseudomonadati; Planctomycetota.
AGCACGUAGGUGGGUUUGUAAGUCAGUUGUGAAAGCCUUCCGCUUAACGGAAGAACGGCAUCUGAUACUACAGGGCUUGAGUGCGGGAGGGGAGAGUGGAACUUCUGGUGGAGCGGUGAAAUGCGUAGAUAUCAGAAGGAACGCCGGCGGCGAAAGCGACUCUCUGGUCCGAAACUGACGCUGAGUGUGCGAAAGCUAGGGGAGCAAACGGGAUUAGAUACCCCGGUA